AGGUAGCAAAUCACAAACCUGCAAAACUCUAACAGGGAUCUUGUAUUGUGAAGCAAGAAGGCAUGUUUGGUGGGUCAAGCACUUGAAAUCAACUAUUUCCGAGUGAGAAACUAUUUGGAGUGUUAAUUCUUCAACCUAUGGAUAAAACGUGGAUAAACCUUACAUCAAGAGCAAGUGAAGAGUAUAUAAAUGGGGUCACCAAUUUCUUAGAUUUUGCUUUUGCCAAAUUAUCCGAAGAUGGUAAAAUUUGGUGUCCUUGUGUUAAAUGUGUGAACACAUAUAGGGUGUCCAGAAGAGAAGCAUUUGAUCACAUUAUUUGUGAUGGCUUUCUUAAAGGAUAUGUUCGAUGGAUUU
Molecule: long non-coding RNA, 354 nt
Organism: Dioscorea cayenensis subsp. rotundata (Guinea yam)
Lineage: Eukaryota; Viridiplantae; Streptophyta; Magnoliopsida; Dioscoreales; Dioscoreaceae
Exons: 3
Source: RefSeq, a predicted model, not a curated record